This 1393-nucleotide ribosomal RNA is filed under the name metagenome. RNAcentral's name for it is "bacterial SSU rRNA". It matches the Rfam family "Archaeal small subunit ribosomal RNA". The record is from RNAcentral.
UCCCGUUGAUCCUGCGGGAGGUUGCUGCUAUUGGGAUUCGACUAAGCCACGCAAGUCUGGGGACUUCGGUCACCGACGAAAUGCUCAGUAACACGUCGAUAAUCUGCCCUUAGGUCCAGGAUAACCUCGGGAAACUGAGGCUAACACUGGAUAAGGAACUUCUUCUGGAAAGAUAUGUUCCUGAAAAGCGAUGCCUAAGGAUGAGUUGGCGGCGGAUUAGAUUGUUGGUGGGGUAAAGGCCCACCAAGUCAAAGAUCCGUACGGGCCUUGGGAGAGGUAGCCCGGAGAAGGGUACUGAGACACUGACCCUAGCCCUACGGGGUGCAGCAGGCGCGGAACCUUUACAAUGCACGCAAGUGUGAUAAGGGGAUCCUGAGUGCUUAUGCUUUGCAUAGGCUUUUGCCAAGUGUAAAUAACUUGGCGAAUAAGUGGUGGGAAAGACUGGUGCCAGCCGCCGCGGUAACACCAGCGCCACAAGUGGCAACCGUUUUUAUUGGGCCUAAAGCGUUCGUAGCCGGUUUGGUAAAUCUUUUGUGAAAUUGUUGAGCUUAACUUAACAACGUGCAGAAGACACUGCCAUACUAGGGACCAGGAGGGGCUAGAAGUAUUUCUGGGGGAGCGGUAAAAUGCAGUAAUCCUAGAAAGACUACCUGUGGCGAAGGCGUCUAGCUAGAAUGGAUCCGACGGUGAGGAACGAAAGCCAGGGGAGCAAACCGGAUUAGAUACCCGAGUAGUCCUGGCUGUAAACUCUGCGAGCUAGGUGUUGCAUAUUCUUCGUGAAUGUGCAGUAUCGUAAUGAAGAUGUUAAGCUCGCCGCCUGGGGAGUACGGUCGCAAGACUGAAACUCAAAGGAAUUGGCGGGGGAGCACCACAAGGGGUGCGGCGUGCGGUUUAAUCUAAUUCAACACAGAAAAUCUCACCAGAGGCGACGGCAGAAUGAAGGUCAGCUUGAAGAGUUUACCUGACAAGCCGAGAGGUAGUGCAUGGCCGCCGUCAGCUCGUGCCGUAAGGUGUCCUGUUAAGUCAGGCAACGAGCGAGACCUGUGCCUACAAUUGCUAGCAACUUCAUCAGAAGGAUUGAGCACAUUGUGGGGACUGCCUUUGUAAAAAGGAGGAAGGUGCAGGCUACGGUAGGUCUGUAUGCUCCGAAUCUUCUGGGCUACACGCGCGCAACAAUGGUAGGGACAACGGGAUACAACUCCGAAAGGAGAAGUUAAUCCUCUAAACCCUAUCUUAGUUCAGAUUGAGGGUUGUAACUCACCCUCAUGACGAUGGAAUCCCUAGUAAUCGUGUGUCAUCAGCAGACGGUGAAUAUGUCCCUGCUCCUUGCACACACCGCCCGUCAAACCAUCCGAGCAGGGUCUAGAUGAGGUUUACCUUCUUAGGUAAUUCG